Molecule: ribosomal RNA, 464 nt
Filed under: uncultured bacterium
Lineage: Bacteria
Description: partial 16S ribosomal RNA
Rfam family: Bacterial small subunit ribosomal RNA
Source: RNAcentral
GGACGAACGCUGGCGGCGUGCUUACCCCAUGCAAGUCGAACGGUGAACCUCUUCGGAGGGGAUCAGUGGCGAACGGGUGAGUAACACGUGGGCAACCUGCCCCCGGCUCUGGGAUAACUCCAAGAAAUUGGGGCUAAUACCGGAUGUUCACCGCUUCCCGCAUGGGUGGUGGUGGAAAGGGUUUCCGGCUGGGGAUGGGCCCGCGGCCUAUCAGCUUGUUGGUGGGGUAGUGGCCUACCAAGGCGACGACGGGUAGCCGGCCUGAGAGGGUGACCGGCCACACUGGGACUGAGACACGGCCCAGACUCCUACGGGAGGCAGCAGUGGGGAAUAUUGCGCAAUGGGCGGAAGCCUGACGCAGCGACGCCGCGUGGGGGAUGACGGCCUUCGGGUUGUAAACCUCUUUCAGCAGGGACGAAGCGCAAGUGACGGUACCUGCAGAAGAAGCACCGGCCAACUACGUG